AAAUUGAAGAGUUUGAUCAUGGCUCAGAUUGAACGCUGGCGGCAGGCCUAACACAUGCAAGUCGAGCGGCAGCGGGAAAGUAGCUUGCUACUUUUGCCGGCGAGCGGCGGACGGGUGAGUAAUGCCUGGGGAUCUGCCCAGUCGAGGGGGAUAACAGUUGGAAACGACUGCUAAUACCGCAUACGCCCUACGGGGGAAAGGAGGGGACCUUCGGGCCU
RNAcentral lists this ribosomal RNA (218 nucleotides) under Aeromonas salmonicida subsp. salmonicida. RNAcentral describes it as "partial 16S ribosomal RNA". It matches the Rfam family "Bacterial small subunit ribosomal RNA", at positions 1 to 222 of the family's 1533-position model. The record is from RNAcentral. Lineage: Bacteria; Pseudomonadati; Pseudomonadota; Gammaproteobacteria; Aeromonadales; Aeromonadaceae.